Molecule: long non-coding RNA, 3347 nt
Filed under: Salmo salar (Atlantic salmon)
Lineage: Eukaryota; Metazoa; Chordata; Actinopteri; Salmoniformes; Salmonidae
Description: lncRNA (ENSSSAG00000087279.1, ENSSSAG00000113442.1)
Source: RNAcentral
GGCUAGUAACAGUAACUAAGGUUCAGGGCAGGGUUCUGGGUGGAGGCUAGUAACAGUAACUAAGGUUCAGAGCGGGUACUGGGUGGAGGCCGGCUAGUAACAGUAACUAAGGUUCAGGGCAGGGUACUGGGUGGAGGCUAGUAACAGUAACUAAGGUUCAGAGCGGGUACUGGGUGGAGGCUAGUAACAGUAAGUAAGGUUCAGGGCAGCAGUAUCUAAGGUUCAGGGCAGGGUACUGGGUGGAGGCUGGCUAGUAACAGUAACUAAGGUUCAGGGCGGGGUACUGGGUGGAGACUAGCUAGUAACAGUAACUAAGGUUCAGGGCAGGGUACUGGGUGGAGACUAGCUAGUAACAGUAACUAAGGUUCAGGGCAGGGUACUGGGUGGAGGCUAACUAGUAACAGUGACUAAGGUUCAGGGCAGGGUACUGGGUGGAGGCUGGCUAGUAACAGUAACUAAGGUUCAGGGCAGGGUACUGGGCAGGGUACUGGGUGGAGGCUAGUAACAGUAACUAAGGUUCAGGGCAGCAGUUUCUGGGUGGAGGCUAGUAACAGUAACUAAGGUUCAGGGCAGGGUACUGGGUGGAGGCUAGUAACAGUAACUAAGGUUCAGGGCAGGGUACUGGGUGGAGGCUGGCUAGUGGUGACUAAGGUUCAGGGCAGGGUACUGGGUGGAGGCUAGUAACAGUAACUAAGGUUCAGGGCAGGGUACUGGGUGGAGGCUAGCUAGUAACAGUAACUAAGGUUCAUGGCAGGGUACUGGGUGGAGGCUGGCUAGUGGUGACUAAGGUUCAGGGCAGGGUACUGGGUGGAGGCUAGUAACAGUAACUAAGGUUCAGGGCAGGGUACUGGGUGGAGGCUAGCUAGUAACAGUGACUAAGGUUCAGGGCAGGGUACUGGGUGGAGGCUAGCUAGUAACAGUAACUAAGGUUCAGGGCAGGGUACUGGGUGGAGGCUAACUAGUAACAGUAACUAAGGUUCAGGGCAGGGUACUGGGUGGAGGCAGGCUAGUAACAGUAACUAAGGUUCAGGGCAGGGUACUGGGUGGAGGCUAGCUAGUAACAGUAACUAAGGUUCAGGGCAGGGUACUGGGUGGAGGCUAGCUAGUAACAGUAACUAAGGUUCAGGGCAGGGUACUGGGUGGUAGCCGGCUAGUAACAGUGACUAAGGUUCAGGGCAGGGUACUGGGUGGAGGCUAACUAGUAACAGUAACUAAGGUUCAGGGCAGGGUACUGGGUGGAGGCUAGUAACAGUAACUAAGGUUCAGGGCAGGGUACUGGGUGGAGGCUAGUAACAGUAACUAAGGUUCAGGGCAGCAGUUUCUGGGUGGAGGCUAGUAACAGUAACUAAGGUUCAGGGCAGGGUACUGGGUGGAGGCUAGUAACAGUAACUAAGGUUCAGGGCAGGGUACUGGGUGGAGGCUAGCUAGUAACAGUAACUAAGGUUCAGGGCAGGGUACUGGGUGGAGGCUAGCUAGUAACAGUGACUAAGGUUCAGGGCAGGGUACUGGGUGGAGGCUGGCUAGUAACAGUAACUAAGGUUCAGGGCAGGGUACUGGGUGGAGGGUAGCUAGAAACAGUGACUAAGGUUCAGGGCAGGGUACUGGGUGGAGGCUGGCUAGUAACAGUAACUAAGGUUCAGGGCAGGGUACUGGGUGGAGGCUAGUAAGAGUCACUAAGGUUCAGGGCAGGGUACUGGGUGGAGGCUGGCUAGUAACAGUAACUAAGGUUCAUGGCAGGGUUCUGGGUGGAGGCUGGCUAGUGACAGUGGCUAAGGUUCAGGGCAGGAUACUGGGUGGAGGCUGGCUAGUGACAGUGGCUAAGGUUCAGGGCAGGGUACUGGGUGGAGGCUGGAAUGUGGUAACUAAGAUUCAGGGCAGGGUUCUGAGUGGAGGAUGGCUUGUGUUGACUAAGGUAUAGGGCAGGGUACUGGGUGGAGGCUGGAUAGUGGUAACUAAGGUUCAGGGCAGGGUACUGGGUGGAGGCCGGAUAGUGACAGUGACUAAUGUUCAGGGCAGGGUACUGGGUGGAGGCUGGAUAGUGACAGUGACUAAGGUUCAGGGCUGGGUACUGGGUGGAGGCUGGAUAGUGACAGUGACUAACGGUCAUGGCAGGGUACUGGGUGGUGGCCGGAUAGUGACAGUGACUAACGGUCAUGGCAGGGUACUGGGUGGAGGCUGGAUAGUGACAGUGACUAACGGUCAUGGCAGGGUACUGGGUGGAGGCUGGCCAGUGGUUAAUAAGGUUCAGGGCAGGGUACUGGGUGGAGGCCGGAUAGUGGUAACUAAGAUUCAGAGCAGGGUACUGGGUGGAGGCCGGAUAGUGGUGACUUUUUAACAAUCUGAUAUAUGAUCCUUAUAAAUCCUUAAUACACACCACUCUGAUAUUAGAAUCAGCUGAAGAUUUAUCAUUUCUGGUGUUGUAUAUUCCAUCUAAAGCUCUGUUGUUCUAUAUGUCUCUGUCUCUCUCUCCUUCUUCAUCCAGACACAGACUGCUGUGUUAUAACAGAUUACAGCCCUGUGGAAUAUCCCUAUCAUCAUGAUACAUUUUAUAUAUAAAAGUAUGUGGACACCCCUUCACAUUAGUGGAUUCGGCUAUUUUAACCACACCCGUUGCUGACAGGUGAAUAAAAUCGAGCAACACAGCCAUGAAAUCUCCACAGACAAACAUUGGCAGUAGAAUGGCCUUACUGAAGAGCUCAGUGACUUUCAAAGUGGCACCAUCAUAGGGUGCCACCUUUCCAACAAGUAAGUUUGUCAAAUUUCUGCCCUGCUAGAGCUUCCUGGUCAACUGUAAAUGCUGUUAUUGUGAAGUGAAAAAGUCUAGGAGCAACAACGGCUCAGGCGCGAAGUGGUAGGCCACACAAGCUCACAGAACGGGACCGCCGAGUGCUGAAGCGCAUCCUCAGUUGCAUCGCUCACUACCGAGUUUCAAACUGCCUCUGGAAGCAACAUCAACUGUUCGUCGGGAGGUUCAUGAAAUGGGUUUCCGUGGCUGAGCAGCCGCACACAAGCCUAAGAUCACCAUGCGCAAUGCCAAGCGUUCGCUGGAGUGGUGUAAAGCUCGCCGCCAUUGGACUCUGGAGCAGUGGAAACAAGUUCUCUGGAGUGAUGAAUCACGCUUCACCAUCUGGCAGUCCGACGGACGAAUCUGGGUUUGGCGGAUGCCAGGAGAACACUACCUGCCCCAAUGAAUAGUGCCAACUGUAAAGUUUGGUGGAGGAGGAAUAAUGGUCUGGGGCUGUUUUUCAUGGUUCGGGCCCCUUAGUUCCAGUGAAGGGAAAUCUUAACGCUACAGCAUUCAAUGACAUUCUAGACAAUUCUGUGCUACUAAAUUUGUGGCAACAGUU